Molecule: transfer RNA, 56 nt
Filed under: Capra hircus (goat)
Lineage: Eukaryota; Metazoa; Chordata; Mammalia; Artiodactyla; Bovidae
Also listed under: 1 other name
Rfam family: tRNA
About the family: Transfer RNA (tRNA) molecules are approximately 80 nucleotides in length. Their secondary structure includes four short double-helical elements and three loops (D, anti-codon, and T loops). Further hydrogen bonds mediate the characteristic L-shaped molecular structure. tRNAs have two regions of fundamental functional importance: the anti-codon, which is responsible for specific mRNA codon recognition, and the 3' end, to which the tRNAs corresponding amino acid is attached (by aminoacyl-tRNA synthetases). tRNAs cope with the degeneracy of the genetic code in two manners: having more than one tRNA (with a specific anti-codon) for a particular amino acid; and 'wobble' base-pairing, i.e. permitting non-standard base-pairing at the 3rd anti-codon position.
Source: Rfam by way of RNAcentral
UGGCUCAGAUGGUAAAGCAUCUGCCUGUAAUGCAGGAGACCAGGGUUUGAUCCCUG